This 1131-nucleotide long non-coding RNA is filed under the name Mus musculus (house mouse). RNAcentral describes it as "RIKEN cDNA 4930408O17 gene". The record is from RNAcentral. Lineage: Eukaryota; Metazoa; Chordata; Mammalia; Rodentia; Muridae.
UGAUGGACAGCUUUACCCACGAGCACUCUACACUCAUCCGGUUAGGAAAACUCCUUCCCUGGGAAGAUGGAUACAAGAGGCUACCCUCCUUAUGAAGUCCCAAGAACAAACCAAACGACAAUCUCAACAAACGUCCAAUGUGAGGAACCAAUGGCUUUAUGUGAGGGGUUACCCCAAAGCUGCAGGAUGGAGGAGCCGGAACCUCAAGUGAGUGUCCACUGACCACCCUCCCUGCUUCCUAGGAGGGAAUGUCAACAGUCAACAAGCCUUUCUUGGGGUCUCCUGCAAGAAGUCACAGCCAUUCUGAGGAAGAGGACAGUUGUUAGGCUCAGAGGAAGCCCUCUAUAUCACGGCCCUACUAGCGACUCCCACUUGUCACGCAAAGUCUGGCUUUCAAAACUACAGUCCCCACCAUCCUACAGGAAGUUCGCCAGUUGCCAUGGUUCCGACCGGAAGUCUUCGACUCCAGCAGAUGCUGGACAGAGCUUGCCCUUUUCGUCUCCCCGGAAGGCUAGCUACCUCACACAGCUGAUCGGCCUCCUUGGAUCCCUGAGUGUCUGUACUGCUUUAGAAGAAAGGCGGCGAUGGUGCCAGCAGGCAGCUUGGCUGUUCUGAGGAGGACAGGCCCCUCUGGCUGCCAGCAUCCUGGGUUCAAUCCUCUUCAUAGAGCCAAGAAGCCCAAGGCAAAGCGGGGAUCUCUUCCAUGAGCAAGCAACAGGCCAGAGGACACAGGGGAUGCACAGCAACAGAAAGGCACUUUCUCCUGCCCCAGCUCGGUGUUGGCUGUGUGAUGCCAAGCCACUUCUCAGCCUCUCUUGACUUCUGCCCUCUGCUCACGGUCUCUGCCUGUUGGGGUGUGAACUCGGAUGUUUAUCUUCAGAUGGUUCGUCACUGAGACCCAGGUUGCUUCAAAAGCUCAAAGCAAACCACAUCUGGAAGAUAAGGUGCCCCUGACAUUAGGAGAUUGCCUAUAAUAUGCAAGAUUAAUGUAUUCCCUAAGAUUUUAUUAAUUAUUUUGGUAUGCAGAGGUGUUAGUGGGUGGUUUAAAAAAAAUUCUGCUUCCCUAGGUAGAUUGUACCGGAUGCCCCAGUUUCCACAAAUAAAACCCUUCGUUGCUCCCAGUUUUGAACA